UGUGAUACACUCUCGACGAGUCGAGUUGUUUGGGAAUGCAGCUCUAAAUGGGUGGUAAAUNCCAUCUAAAGCUAAAUAUUGGCGAGAGACCGAUAGCGAACAAGUACCGUGAGGGAAAGAUGAAAAGCACUUUGGAAAGAGAGUGAAACAGUACGUGAAAUUGUUGAAAGGGAAACGCUUGAAGUCAGUCGCGCCGUUCGGGAUUCAGCCUUGCUUCUGCUCGGUUUACUUCCCGUUGGGUGGGUCAACAUCAGUUUCGGUCGGAGGAGAAAGACUUGGGGAAGGUGGCAGCAUUCGUGCUGUGUUAUAGCCCCGUGUUGUAUACUUCGACUGGGACUGAGGACCGCAGCACGCCUCUGGCCGGGGUUCGCCCACGUACGUGCUUAGGAUGUUGGCAUAAUGGCUUUAAGCGACCCGUCUUGAAACACGGACCAAGGAGUCUAACAUGUGCGCGAGUGUUUGGGUGUUAAACUCGGACGCGAAAUGAAAGUGAAAAGUUGGGAACACGUCUGUGUGCACCGACGCCCGGAGCUGACCUUCUGUGACGCAUCUGCGGUAGAGCGUAUAUGUUGGGACCCGAAAGAUGGUGAACUAUGCCUGAAUAGGGUGAAGCCAGAGGAAACUCUGGUGGAGGCUCGUAGCGAUUCUGACGUGCAAAUCGAUCGUCAAA
RNAcentral lists this ribosomal RNA (670 nucleotides) under Sebacinales sp. SEB3. RNAcentral describes it as "eukaryotic LSU rRNA". It matches the Rfam family "Eukaryotic large subunit ribosomal RNA", at positions 245 to 909 of the family's 3401-position model. The record is from RNAcentral. Lineage: Eukaryota; Fungi; Basidiomycota; Agaricomycetes; Sebacinales.